UACGAAGGGGGCUAGCGUUGCUCGGAAUCACUGGGCGUAAAGGGCGCGUAGGCGGCCUGCUAAGUCGAACGUGAAAUCCCUGGGCUCAACCCAGGAACUGCGUCCGAUACUGGUUGGCUUGAAUCCGGGAGAGGGAUGUGGAAUUCCAGGUGUAGCGGUGAAAUGCGUAGAUAUCUGGAGGAACACCGGUGGCGAAGGCGACAUCCUGGACCGGUAUUGACGCUGAGGCGCGAAAGCCAGGGGAGCAAACGGG
RNAcentral lists this ribosomal RNA (253 nucleotides) under uncultured bacterium. RNAcentral's name for it is "partial 16S ribosomal RNA". It matches the Rfam family "Bacterial small subunit ribosomal RNA", at positions 524 to 776 of the family's 1533-position model. The record is from RNAcentral.